UGCAAGUCGAACGGCAGCACGGGGGCAACCCUGGUGGCGAGUGGCGAACGGGUGAGUAACAUAUCGGAACGUGCCCUGGAGUGGGGGAUAACUAGUCGAAAGACUAGCUAAUACCGCAUACGAUCUACGGAUGAAAGUGGGGGAUCGCAAGACCUCAUGCUCGUGGAGCGGCCGAUAUCUGAUUAGCUAGUUGGUGGGGUAAAGGCCUACCAAGGCAUCGAUCAGUAGCUGGUCUGAGAGGACGACCAGCCACACUGGGACUGAGACACGGCCCAGAYUCCUACGGGAGGCAGCAGUGGGGAAUUUUGGACAAUGGGCGCAAGCCUGAUCCAGCAAUGCCGCGUGAGUGAAGAAGGCCUUCGGGUUGUAAAGCUCUUUUGUCAGGGAAGAAACGGUGAGGGCUAAUAUCCCUUGCUAAUGACGGUACCUGAAGAAUAAGCACCGGCUAACUACGUGCCAGCAGCCGCGGUAAUACGUAGGGUGCAAGCGUUAAUCGGAAUUACUGGGCGUAAAGCGUGCGCAGGCGGUUGUGCAAGACCGAUGUGAAAUCCCCGGGCUUAACCUGGGAAUGGCAUUGGUGACUGCACGGCUAGAGUGUGUCAGAGGGGGGUAGAAUUCCACGUGUAGCAGUGAAAUGCGUAGAGAUGUGGAGGAAUACCGAUGGCGAAGGCAGCCCCCUGGGAUAACACUGACGCUCAUGCACGAAAGCGUGGGGAGCAAACAGGAUUAGAUACCCUGGUAGUCCACGCCCUAAACGAUGUCAACUAGUUGUCGGGUCUUAAUUGACUUGGUAACGCAGCUAACGCGUGAAGUUGACCGCCUGGGGAGUACGGUCGCAAGAUUAAAACUCAAAGGAAUUGACGGGGACCCGCACAAGCGGUGGAUGAUGUGGAUUAAUUCGAUGCAACGCGAAAAACCUUACCUACCCUUGACAUGGCAGGAAUCCCGGAGAGAUUCGGGAGUGCUCGAAAGAGAACCUGCACACAGGUGCUGCAUGGCUGUCGUCAGCUCGUGUCGUGAGAUGUUGGGUUAAGUCCCGCAACGAGCGCAACCCUUGUCAUUAGUUGCUACGAAAGGGCACUCUAAUGAGACUGCCGGUGACAAACCGGARGAAAGGUGGGGAUGACGUCAAGUCCUCAUGGCCCUUAUGGGUAGGGCUUCACACGUCAUACAAUGGUACAUACAGAGGGCCGCCAACCCGCGAGGGGGAGCUAAUCCCAGAAAGUGUAUCGUAGUCCGGAUUGCAGUCUGCAACUCGACUGCAUGAAGUUGGAAUCGCUAGUAAUCGCGGAUCAGCAUGUCGCGGUGAAUACGUUCCCGGGUCUUGUACACACCGCCCGUCACACCAUGGGAGCGGGUUUUACCAGAAGUAGGUAGCUUAACCGCAAGGAGGGCGC
This 1397-nucleotide ribosomal RNA is filed under the name Noviherbaspirillum suwonense. RNAcentral describes it as "bacterial SSU rRNA". The record is from RNAcentral. Lineage: Bacteria; Pseudomonadati; Pseudomonadota; Betaproteobacteria; Burkholderiales; Oxalobacteraceae.